UGGUUUAAAUUGUGAUUAUAUAUUAACAUUCUCUUCCAAAAAAAAAAUCAACAAAAAAUAUAUAAUUGCAGCUAUUAUUAUUUUUAAUUUAAUAACUAAAAAAUCCUUACAACAAACAUCAUUAUUUAGAAUCUGAGAAACCCUGAUCAUGUCAUCAACCACCAAUUGAACUGCACUAUCAUCUCCUAACUUUGCCAAGCAAUUCAAUAACAUCUUGUGCAAGCUGAAGUUGGAUGAGAAAACCCAUCUUUCAUCUUCACCCAA
Molecule: long non-coding RNA, 264 nt
Filed under: Populus tremula
Lineage: Eukaryota; Viridiplantae; Streptophyta; Magnoliopsida; Malpighiales; Salicaceae
Description: long non-coding RNA (PTRE_LNC001075)
Source: RNAcentral